Molecule: transfer RNA, 67 nt
Filed under: human gut metagenome
Rfam family: tRNA
About the family: Transfer RNA (tRNA) molecules are approximately 80 nucleotides in length. Their secondary structure includes four short double-helical elements and three loops (D, anti-codon, and T loops).
Source: RNAcentral
GGGAGUAGCUCAAUUGGUAGAGCAUCAGCCUUCCAAGCUGAGGGUCGCGAGUUCGAACCUCGUCUCC